This is a non-coding RNA of Hordeum vulgare subsp. vulgare (domesticated barley), 136 nucleotides long. Lineage: Eukaryota; Viridiplantae; Streptophyta; Magnoliopsida; Poales; Poaceae. The record is from Rfam.
AUACUACUCCCUCCGUCCCAAAAUUCUUGUCUUAAAUUUAUCUAGAUAUGAAUGUAUCUAGUUACAUUUUAGCAUUUAGACACAUUCAUUUAUAAAUAAACCUAAGACAAGAAUUUUGGGACGGAGAGAGUACUAC